CAGAAAAAGCUUGAUUAUAGCUACUGCUUGUUUCUGUGUUUCAGAAACUUUGUGUGUUUCUUGUAAGUGGGCAGCGGCCAGACAACCGUAGAGAUGGAAUCCACAGAGUGGUGAGGUUUUUUGUCUCACACUUCUACUAAUUCCAUCUCACAUUU
Molecule: small nucleolar RNA, 155 nt
Filed under: Medicago truncatula (barrel medic)
Lineage: Eukaryota; Viridiplantae; Streptophyta; Magnoliopsida; Fabales; Fabaceae
Description: small nucleolar RNA snoR143
Rfam family: small nucleolar RNA snoR143
Source: Rfam by way of RNAcentral